Molecule: ribosomal RNA, 433 nt
Filed under: uncultured bacterium
Lineage: Bacteria
Description: partial 16S ribosomal RNA
Rfam family: Bacterial small subunit ribosomal RNA
Source: RNAcentral
AACGAACGCUGGCGGCAUGCCUAACACAUGCAAGUCGAACGAGACCUUCGGGUCUAGUGGCGCACGGGUGCGUAACGCGUGGGAACCUGCCCUUAGGUUCGGAAUAACUCCCCGAAAGGGGUGCUAAUACCGGGUAAUGUCUUCGGACCAAAGAUUUAUCGCGUUUGUCUGGGCCGGCGUUGGAUUAGCUAGUUGGUAGGGUAAAAGCCUACCAAGGCGACGAUCCAUAGCUGGUCUGAGAGGAUGAUCAGCCACACUGGCACUGAGACACGGCCCAGACUCCUACGGGAGGCAGCAGUGGCGAAUAUUGGACAAUGGGCGAAAUCCUGAUCCAGCAAUGCCGCGUGAGUGAUGAAGGCCGUAGGGUUGUAAAGCUCUUUUACCCGGGAUGAUAAUGACAGUACCGGGAGAAUAAGCCCCGGCUAACUACGUG